GGUGGCCAAACCCAGGGUGGGGUCAGGGUGGGGUAGCCUGUGUCUAAGAAGGCGUGAGCCCCCACCCCCUGGCCAGCUCCUUCCCUCCUCCCGCAGCUCCUGGGACUCAGGCAUGGGCAGGUGGGGAGGAAGACUCCUGGGUCCUGCCUGGUCCACAGAGAAGGUCACGUGAAGACGCCUCCUCUCCCUCCCUCUUGCCUCUCCUUCCCUAGAACCGCUAGAUGGAUGUGUUUCAACAGAUUCUGAGCUGAUAAAAUCUUAUUUAUCUUCGGCUGUUGACACAGAGCCGUCCAGACUUGCCUGCCCCGAGAUGCAUGUAUCCUUUCGUGUUUGCAGGAAACGGUUUGCCCAAAUGCUGGUGUCUGCCCAUCCCUGCCCUCCCCCACCGGACCCUCCCCCCAUUAGAGUCCUCGACGGGCCCUGUCUGGCUGGGAGCCCGGGGCCUGGCAGGGCUGGCGCGGGGGUGGCAGGCGAGAGGGUGGCGGGUGGCAGGCGAGGCUCCGUGGCUGUUAAUUUCCUCGCACCCGCUCCCCGGCAGCUGGGUGCCCGGCAUGGGCAGGUUUGGACAGGAGGAGAGUGGAGAGGUGAUAAUAGGUUGUCUGUCAUUUUCCAGGGACGUGUAGCAUCUUGCAAACCGCAAAUACCGUUAACCAGCUUGGGCGAAUCUGUUACAACAGAUUCUGGAAGACGGGGCCUUGAGGGGGGGCUUUUAUUUUUUUAAAUGAUUUUUUUUUAUAGCCCACUUUUAUCUGCUUGCCGCGCGUGUGUGUGUGUGUGCGUGCGUGUGUGUUCAGAGCCACAUUUCUCUCCUCUCUCAGGUUAUGGACCCCUUUGAGGACCUACCCAAGGCCACAGACUCCCUUCCUCCCUAGAGAAACUCCCACAAGAACACUUACCAAGAAGCUGUGUGGGUUCAUAGGGUGACCCCCAAGACCCACAGGGGGCCUAGGCCAACAGCCCCCAUUGACAGCCCUCCUGGCCCGUUUCAGAGCACCCAUGGACAGAAAGCGGUGAGGGUCCCUGCACAAGGAAACCCCUGCACAACGCCCCACCUUGGCCACGGCCUGGUGGCUGGAGGAGGCUCCUGGGAGUUCCUGGACGCUGGUAGGCUGCAACCGUGUCUGAUAAAGAAGCCUGCCGAGAAUCCUCAAGAGCUCCUGGCUAGGGGAGGAGACACACGCAUCUGCUGACACCCUGCACAGGCUGGUCAGGGGGCUCCCUCGCCGGGAGCCCAGAGAAGGAUAAACGGGAGGCAGAAGUGGGCUUUGUGGGUGCCGAGUGACGCUGACCACUAUCCAGGGGCAUCCCCAGAGGCUGUGGGCCAGAGGCUGCCUACCUGUGAGAGGUGGGCCUGGGGCUGGCAGCGACACCCCUCAGGAGCCUCCCCCACACACAUCCUAGAGCCUGUUCCCAAUCAAGGGAGCAGGAGCCCCUGGGACCCUCACGACCUGGAAGUACCAUGCCCUGGGAAGUGGUAAGCAUCCCCCUCAGGCACUCCCAGGCCACAGGGACUUGGGCCUACUCCGCCCUCCUCCCACACAUGGCUGCAAGCCGGGAAGGAUGUCUCUGGUGGCUUCUGUCCCGGGCUAACAUCAGGGGUGGGAGCGCUGAGACCCCUGAGUCCCCUUUGUCUCCACCAGGCUAGCCCUGGGUCCAGGAAGACUGCCAUUCAAAGAGGCAUGCAGGGGGACAGAGCAAGGACACAGGUGCCAGGCACAACAUGCUUCUUCCUCUGGCCUGGGGUCAGGGGCAAGGGGGCCAAUGGGCGGGGACCUGCCCUUGGCCUCAGAUACCCAGGCCCUGCCAUCUGGCCUCCCCUGGACCCUGAGGAGGGGGCCUUGAGGAUGGAGAGGGUAAGCAGGACGUGUCUUUGGGGACCCAGCUGGGCUUGCGGGGAGCCCCAGCCUUCCCACCAGGAGCCACCCUCCUGGCCAAGAGCACAAAUGGUGGCCACGUCUGAAGCACCAGGAUCUGCCUCAGCCAGGCUCAAGCAUAGUUCCCCUGCCUGUGAACUUGGUUUCUGGCUUUGCCAGCCGGAGAGCCCAAGCCUGUCUGUCCUGGCCUCCCAGAGAAGGCAGACACCCCGCUGGCUGGCCCCAUGGGGAAAACACUGGUAAGAAUGCAGCAAGGCUGUGAGCCAGACCAGAGAACUACCCGUGUGGGGACAGAAUGAAGAGGCUGGCCACCAGCCCGGCUCUGCUCACCACAGAGGGUCCCCUCAACUGCCAGGGGAAAGAUCCCCUAUGACCCUUAACGCCCACCUUCCCCUUCUGAGCUGCUUGGCCUUGUCAAUGUAGUGCUCAUAGGGUCAGCCCGCCUGGGCAGGGCGUGGGGGCCAGCAGGCACCUUCUGCUCAGAGGAUGGUCCUGGGAUCCUCUGACUGCAGGCACCCCAUUCUGGACAGGACUGCCAGUCUGGUGAGUGCAGGCACAGGUGGGCCGGCUCCUGCCCCCAGGGCCUAGAAGCUUCCAGAUGGCCUGGGCCUGGGGCCGGCCCAGCUGCAGGUGGCUUGGGAGCGGGAAGGGUGGCCCGGCCGUGGCCACAGUGGGGACGGGUAUUCAGGAUGGCCUCGAUGGCCCUGUGUCAGCUCCAGCUGGGGGCCCUGGGCACGGGCUCUCCUGCCUCUGACCUUCCUGCCAUGGAAGCUACAGGUCAGUCUCCAGUUCAGGACCUCAGUUAAAGACCUGCCCUCUGGCCAGGCAGUGGUGAGCAUGGUUUUUUCACUCUUAAGAAACUGCACCCUCUGCCAGCAAGACAGGAGCCCACAGCUUCUCCAGUGAGCUCGGGGAUGCCCCGGACACGUGGGGAUGGGCAUUUUCCAGCUUCUAAGGCAAUGGUUGGCUGGAAUCGAAGAUAAAUACCCAGCGAAGCCCCGGGGGGAAAAGGAGAGUUUGGGACCCUAAACAUCUGACUGCCCUGCAGAGGGCAGUGGCUCCUAGUGCCAGGUGGUGAGCAUGUGGCACCCCCUCGUCUCAUCCUCCCCAAGGCCCCGGAGGAGCCAGCUGGCUCCUCACAUAGGAGGACGAGGAGGAGAGGGGAGGGGUUGCCGCACCCCGGGGGGCACACAGCCAUGGUGGACGAGGCAGGUCUGUAACCCCAGGGGGACCCUGGGCGUUAGGCCACGGCGGGAUCCCCCAGCAACCCCUGAGCUUCCACUUUACUGAAGCUUGGAGUGCUAGUCACUUGUGCGAGGCGGUGCUCCUGCCCUAAAAUGAGCCCGAGCGAGCAGCCCUGUGGCCCUGUCCAGCCCCGGGGGGCCUCACACCUGACCCCAGCUCUGCCGCCCUCGGGUUUCUGCCCCCUCCUCUUCCUGGGGCCGCCUGGACAAAUACACGGACCGCCCCUGCAAGGCGGGGGUGGGGGAGGCGUGGCCAGGGGAAUUCUGGGGCCUGGGGUCCAUGAACUCGAGCCCCGCUUCCAAAAUCCUGACACGGAUUUCCCUCGCAACUGACCACUGAAAAGCUUCACUGGUCGCUCAGCAGAGACCCUUGCCCAGAGUCCACAGGACGGGGGCGGGAGCCUCAGGACCGCGUGGCCUCCUCAGCCCCGGUUCCAGGAGGAGCUGUCCCCCCUAUAACGGCAGCUACUGAUGCUGGCUGGGCAGCCAGGGCCUGGGAGAUGCCCAGGGAGAGGCGAGGAGGGGCUGUCCCCAGGCCCCGCUCCCGACUCCCCGACCCCCGGGCCCCAGCCCCGGCCCCACUCGGCCUCCAAGGCCAAGUUCUGCGACCUCCAAGCCCAGGGGCUCCAGCGGCUGCAGAGGGUGGUGAGAGAAGCGAUCCCCAGCUCAGGCCACAGGCUAGGGCGCCGACACCAGCCAGGGCCAGCCGGCAGGAAGCGGGUCCCCGCCCCAGGAGCUUUGCACAAUGCAGGCAAUCACGGCCACUUCCCCUGUUCGCUCCUCAUUCUGUCUCCACCACAGACACUGAGAGCUCUUCCCUCGGCCUUAAAUACGUGUAACUGCUUCUGGUGCCAGUAAAAGGUAUUAAUUCCA
Long non-coding RNA from Felis catus (domestic cat), 3991 nucleotides. RefSeq lists it as uncharacterized. The record is from RefSeq and is a predicted model, not a curated record. Lineage: Eukaryota; Metazoa; Chordata; Mammalia; Carnivora; Felidae. The transcript has 2 exons.